GCACUGUCAUUGGUAGGUGUAGUCAACAGAAAUGAAAUAGCAUAAAGCUCAGAUGGAUAUCAAUCAAUACCUUUCUCAAUCUAAAUCGUGAUAGGAUUAAGAACAAUGAUCGGAACAAAAUAUGCACAUGAAGCGUUAUCGUGGAAAAUAUACACAAGUAAUAAUAUUGCCUCGUGACACAACCACAUACAAUACAUUGCUGUUGACUACACCUACCAAUGACAGUGCUGACUGACUGAAGCUGCAAAAAACAGGAACAAAGAAAGCACUGAAAGAUCAUCACACGCUAUUUUUGCGCUACAGCUGAUGUUGCCAGCAAGUAUCAUCUCUCAUCAGUCAUCACCAGUGAAUAUCAUCUACGCCCAUCAAUCAAUCCCUCCAGUUCUCUUCUCCCAAACCUCCUUCCCUCUGAAUGAGCUUCCUUACAUCUUGCAGCAAAGUAAAAUAUCAACCAAGCUACCAUAAAGUAAACCUCCACGGUUGACUGAAAAAUUGCAGCCAAAAACUUGCCAAAAACCCGAGUUAAGACCCAUCUUGCUGUUUGAAAAAGAAAUUUCAGGGUUUUUAUUUGGAUAGCCUGGUUAAACAUAGUUGAUAUCAAAUAACAACCUUCUUUAACAAUCUCUCUCCCCGUCCUUCUUGAAUCCACAAUGGUAACCCAUGCAUC
RNAcentral lists this unclassified non-coding RNA (667 nucleotides) under Hevea brasiliensis (rubber tree). Lineage: Eukaryota; Viridiplantae; Streptophyta; Magnoliopsida; Malpighiales; Euphorbiaceae. The record is from RNAcentral.